RNAcentral lists this ribosomal RNA (1240 nucleotides) under Atriophallophorus winterbourni. RNAcentral's name for it is "partial large subunit ribosomal RNA". It matches the Rfam family "Eukaryotic large subunit ribosomal RNA", at positions 87 to 925 of the family's 3401-position model. The record is from RNAcentral. Lineage: Eukaryota; Metazoa; Platyhelminthes; Trematoda; Plagiorchiida; Microphallidae.
CUGCGAGUGAACAGGGAAAAGCCCAGCACCGAAGCCUGUGAUCGUUUGGUCAUUAGGCAAUGUGGUGUUCAGGUUGUUCCGCAAAGGUGCUGCUCCACCCUAAGUCCAUCAAUGAGAUCGGUUGUUUGGACCCGGCCCACAGAGGGUGAUAGGCCCGUGGGGGUGGAGAUCAGGUAGGCCAGUGCCUUUAUGGAUAGACCUUGGAGUCGGGUUGUUUGUGAAUGCAGCCCAAAGUGGGUGGUAAACUCCAUCUAAGGCUAAAUACCUACACGAGUCCGAUAGCAAACAAGUACCGUGAGGGAAAGUUGAAAAGUACUUUGAAGAGAGAGUAAACAGUGCGUGAAGCCGAUCAGAGGUAAACGGGUGGAGUUGAACUGCGAGCUCUGUGAAUUCAGCUGGCGAGUUUGGUUGAGCUUGGUCAAAUCGGUCGUACACUGUAGUCUGUGUAGCAGCAGGCCUUUUCCCCUUUGGGGUUGAGGUGCGCGAUGCACUCAUCAUGUGAUGCGCGCUGCAGUGUUCGUCGGUCCGGCUCGCCAGUGCAUUUUUGCAGAGUGGUCACCACGACCGGCACUGCUGUCGUUCUGUUUUGGUUAAACCGGUUUCGCAUUGUCCUUGUGGCUCUGCUUGAUCGGGAUGGCAGGUAGCUCGUUGGUCAGCUUUCGCUGGUCUUCGAGUGUAAUCAGCUGACCUUGACAGUUCUGUGCAGUGUGUCGGGGACUGCGGCUUUAGUGCGUGUACGCGUGCUAAGUUGGCCGGCUUGCCUGGGAUCUGGUUAUUUUGUAGCCUGUGAAUGCAGGCCUAAUGAUGCCCCGGGUUUGUUCGGUUGACGGUUGCGUGUGUGGCACGAUUUCUGGGCCGAUAGUCUGUGGUGUAGUGGUAGACUAUCCACCUGACCCGUCUUGAAACACGGACCAAGGAGAGUAACAUGUGCGCGAGUCAUUGGGCGUUACGAAACCCAAAGGCGAAGUGAAAGUAAAGGUUUGGCUUGUCCAGACUGAGGUGAGAUCCUGCCGUUUCUCAUGCGCGGUACUACCAAGCAUCGAGCGGUAGGCGCAUCACCGGCCCGUCCCAUGACACUUGUCAUUAGACAUUACCCAGUCGGGGCGGAGCAUGAGCGUACAUGUUGAGACCCGAAAGAUGGUGAACUAUGCUUGCGCAGGUUGAAGCCAGAGGAAACUCUGGUGGAAGACCGUAGCGGUUCUGACGUGCAAAUCGAUCGCCAGACGUGAGUAUAGGGGCG